GCGGAAAUGACUGGCAGAAUCCGAGACCAGGGAGAAGAAUCGGUGGAAGAAGACUGGAAAAAGUUUAAAGACUACUUACAGAAAUACUGUAAAAUUAAUGAAUGUUAGAAGAAUGUUGGAAUGAAGUUAUAUGGCUUUAGUAGAAAUGUUAUAAGGAAUUAAGUAUAAAUAGAUUCAUAGAGUAUUAAAGGGAAAAAUAAGGUUAGAAUGUGUUAAGAUAAUUAUAGGAUAGAAAACAGAGGAAGAUGGAAAGGAAUUGCUGAAACAAUUAAUAGAAGUGGAAUACAAAAAGGGAGGUAUGAGGAGGUCGUGGAAAUAAGUGAAAGAAAGAUAAGAUAUUGAAAUUGGACUGUGUUUUAAAUGGUUUUUGUUUUGUUUUGUUAGUUGUAUGUGUUAGUGUUUUGUAGUGUUUUUUGUACUGUAUUGUAUUGUUGUAUGGGGGUUUUUUGGUUUUUUGUAGUGUUGUGUUUAAUUUGUUGGAAAAUUAAUAAAUAUUAUUU
This is a non-coding RNA of Podarcis lilfordi (Lilford's wall lizard), 500 nucleotides long. NCBI's taxonomy places the organism in Eukaryota, Metazoa, Chordata, Lepidosauria, Squamata, Lacertidae. The record is from the annotation of a GenBank genome assembly.